Molecule: microRNA precursor, 96 nt
Filed under: Tupaia belangeri chinensis (Chinese tree shrew)
Lineage: Eukaryota; Metazoa; Chordata; Mammalia; Scandentia; Tupaiidae
Description: Tupaia chinensis (Chinese tree shrew) mir-544 microRNA precursor family
Rfam family: mir-544 microRNA precursor family
Source: Rfam by way of RNAcentral
AUCACCUGGGGAUCUUGUUAACAUGCAUAUUCUGAUUCUAAGUCUGGAUUGGGGCCUGAGACUUUGCAUUUCUAAUAAGCUCCCAAGUGAUGAUGC